CGUCUAAAGCCCAGAGAAGCCUGGAGCUCAGAGAUGGGAGGAGCAAAAGAGAGAGGCUGCAGAGAGGAUGGAGAAAGAGAGCGAGUCUGCAGCCACAGUGAAAGGGAGAAGAGGUACAAGGAAAGAGAAGCAAAUCUCAGACAGAAGCAGAGGCAAAGCUGAAGGCAGGUUUCGGACAACGCUGCAAGGCCACUGGGAUUGAGAGGAAACCUUUGGUGAUUGCUUUCUCAUUAAGAGUGGGAGGGUGAGGGAAACUAAUGACUACUGCUUUAAGUAUUCGGAAAGCCGAACAGCUGGAGUACCAAAGAUCUGCAGUUUCCUUGGUGACAUCACGGCACACAGAAGGCCGGCCACGUACUGGGCCAAUAAAUGGAAAUUCCUGAAGAAAUCAAAGGCAGAACCUGCAUCCUGGAUACAAUGAUCCAACGAGGAAGUAGCAGGAUCAUUUCUGAUUGAGGCCAAGUUGGAUGUUUAAUGCAACCCUGAUUUCCAGUUCAAAGAUAACGCAAACUGCGACAAAUAACCGAUUGUUUUCUGUUUUGAGGUGGAGACAAAAGCGUGUGGGAGGACGCUCCCAAUGCACAUAGGAAAUCAAGUUUCCAUUGAUUGAUUCUUAAUGUGAAUUUAUUGCGCAUAAUGUGGACUUGAGGGAAAAUCUGACAAAUUGUGGAGGAAAACGCUCAGAGAAAAAGGCCAACAAUCGACAGGUUCACUCCUCUGUGAACAAGCAGUUGAGUUAAACAAUGACAAAAAGGGCCUACGAUAAUAUGAAUAAUCUGUAAAACACAAUGGAACUGCGUUUGGCAGAAAGGACACUUGGUUCUUUCCCAAUGUCAUACUGUGUAUGUUUAACAGUGUACUAUUUAGUCAUACUUUACUUGAGCUAAAGCUGUACGACAAAAGUAGCUCAGGUACAGUAGUAUUAAUGGUAACCAGCAAGAGUUAGACAUCACAGAAUAGCUUGCUUGCAAUAGUUGCUGAACUCCUAAUAUCAUUCUAAUAUCAUAGACUAGUAAACCUCAUUGAGUCAAGAAAAGCCAAUAGUAACCUGCUGAUGUCUGAUUCACAUUCAUAAAACCUUGAUCACAUGUACAUUGCCAUUUAUUAAAAAAUAUGAUCAACAAGGAGCAAAAAUAUAAGAAAAAAGCAGUGUCAUUCAGCAAUGCAAUGAUUUACUUUACCUUGCUUUACUUUUAUAGACAAAUAGAAAGCUACGGAGCUUUCUCAACUAUAAACAAAUGUUUGUCAGUACAAAAAAUGCUUUUUACAUUUUAUAUGCACUUAAUCAGUCUGUACCUUAGAGGAACAAAGCUGCAAAAUUAACACAGCUACUCAAAGUGUAACGUAAAGGCUAAAUAUGGCUGUCAGUCUUCUCAGAGAUGCUGGGAUUUGUUUUCUGUUAGUGUACUGAUACCUUGAGUAGAGUGUGAUACGAGGCCUUGUUUAACCUGUUUAAAUAUCAGAACCGUAUUAUUGUCACUACCAGUUUAAUUUCAGGGAGAUUAACACUCUUAGUUAUCACCUAAUACAAAGAGUCCAUUCAUGUGCUAUCAAAGCACUGAAUCACUUUCUUAUUUCCUUUCAUCCCUUCUGUUUGAUUCCUACUCUCAAAAAACAAAACCUUGGUUGAGUGCCAAAACGUAAAUUAGGAUCUUCAUUAGAACCAUCAAAUCUAAAUUACUAUUCAAUUAACAGGCCAGUCAACCUCAACUAAUCAACCAAUUAGGCUGUGCGUGUUCACAGAAAAGCUAACAAAAGCUCAUGGGUCCCCUGGGAAAGCAGUAAAACACUGCAGAAGAGUGGCAGUGCGAAUGAGAAGCCACUGGUUCAGCAGAGAAGAAAGAGCACAAAAGUGGAAGCGGGUGACUGUGAGAUGGAGAUCACAUCACUAUUCACCCCUGACACGUUUUAAGAAAUUAGACCUCACAAAAAAAUGAUUAAAGAAAGAAAGGUCAAGAUGCAAAACAAAAAUCAUUUUUAAGAGCUUUAGUCAGUUGGCACUGUAAAGGAGUUUACUGUUUUCAGGUUAAUGAUGUGAUCAAUAUGUCUAUGCUAAUGAUUUUGAUUGAAAGGUACAGUGUUUCUUCCGCUUGAAACCUUACAUUGAGCCUAAACAUCAUCUGGCAGUGUUUAAAUACUGGCCAAAAAAACUAAGCUAAACCUUUCCAAAUAAACUUAACUUAAUUGACAGUAAUCACAUUAAAGCAGGUAAACCAAAAAACACGUUUACGAUGGAACAUCGUUUAUAUGUAUUAUUUAUGUGUAGUAUUUUUCUGCAAUUUGAUGAUGUUUAGUAACUAAGCAUUCUGUGGUGCACACAAAUUUAAAAUGAACCAACCCUUAAAAUUCAACUAGUUGGAGGAGCUGGCACAUGGCACUGGUUAUGGCAAUCAUUUUGGUGAGUGUGGUGGCAGGAUGAAAUGCUUUGCGACGACACCUUCAGUGGAGCUUCUGGGAUGUCGACGUUGAACAUACCUUUGGCAACAGGAGGUCUGAUGGGCAGCAAAGGCUGAUCAAAUGUCUUCGGGGUACACAACAGAAUGCAACCUAAAAGAGAAGCAAACACACACACAUUACACAGAUGUAUGGAGAGAAAACAGCAAAAACAAUACUGGAUUUACGAAAGUUGAUAAAAAUGAUAAAACAUAAAUAUACACAUUUGUUAUUUCAUUUUUACGGAAGAAAAAUGAUCUUGAUUCAUGUUCCUUAAAUGUGUCCUUUCUCAUUGUGACCAAG
Gasterosteus aculeatus aculeatus (three-spined stickleback) is the source of this 2736-nucleotide long non-coding RNA. Lineage: Eukaryota; Metazoa; Chordata; Actinopteri; Perciformes; Gasterosteidae. The record is from Ensembl.